UACGAAGGGGCUAGCGUUGCUCGGAAUUACUGGGCGUAAAGCGCGACGUAGGCGGUCUUUAAGUCGGGGGUGAAAUCCUGGAGCUCAACUCCAGAACUGCCUUCGAGUACUGGAAGACUCGAGUCCGGGAGAGGUGAGUGGAACUGCGAGUGUAGAGGUGAAAGUUCGUAGAUAUUCGGCAAGAACACCAGUGGCGAAGGCGGCUCACUGGCCCGGUACUGACGCUGAGGUGCGAAAGCGUGGGAGCAACAGG
RNAcentral lists this ribosomal RNA (253 nucleotides) under uncultured bacterium. Its description in RNAcentral is "partial 16S ribosomal RNA". It matches the Rfam family "Bacterial small subunit ribosomal RNA", at positions 524 to 776 of the family's 1533-position model. The record is from RNAcentral.